RNAcentral lists this transfer RNA (74 nucleotides) under bacterium. RNAcentral describes it as "tRNA-Pro". It matches the Rfam family "tRNA". From Rfam's summary of the family: Transfer RNA (tRNA) molecules are approximately 80 nucleotides in length. Their secondary structure includes four short double-helical elements and three loops (D, anti-codon, and T loops). Further hydrogen bonds mediate the characteristic L-shaped molecular structure. tRNAs have two regions of fundamental functional importance: the anti-codon, which is responsible for specific mRNA codon recognition, and the 3' end, to which the tRNAs corresponding amino acid is attached (by aminoacyl-tRNA synthetases). tRNAs cope with the degeneracy of the genetic code in two manners: having more than one tRNA (with a specific anti-codon) for a particular amino acid; and 'wobble' base-pairing, i.e. permitting non-standard base-pairing at the 3rd anti-codon position. RNAcentral also lists the same sequence under 1 other name. The record is from RNAcentral.
CGGGGUGUAGCGCAGCUGGUUAGCGCGCUUGGUUCGGGACCAAGAGGUCGCUGGUUCAAAUCCAGUCACCCCGA